GACGAACGCUGGCGGCGUGCUUAACACAUGCAAGUCGAACGGAAAGGCCCCCUUGUGGGGUACUCGAGUGGCGAACGGGUGAGUAACACGUGAGUAACCUACCCUUGACUUUGGGAUAACUUCAGGAAACUGGGGCUAAUACCGGAUAGGAGCUCCUGCUGCAUGGUGGGGGUUGGAAAGUUUCGGCGGUUGGGGAUGGACUCGCGGCUUAUCAGCUUGUUGGUGGGGUAGUGGCUCACCAAGGCUUUGACGGGUAGCCGGCCUGAGAGGGUGACCGGCCACAUUGGGACUGAGAUACGGCCCAGACUCCUACGGGAGGCAGCAGUGGGGAAUAUUGCACAAUGGGCGGAAGCCUGAUGCAGCAACGCCGCGUGCGGGAUGACGGCCUUCGGGUUGUAAACCGCUUUCGCCUGAGACGAAGCGUGAGUGACGGUAAUGGGUAAAGAAGCACCGGCUAACUACGUG
RNAcentral lists this ribosomal RNA (465 nucleotides) under uncultured bacterium. Its description in RNAcentral is "partial 16S ribosomal RNA". It matches the Rfam family "Bacterial small subunit ribosomal RNA", at positions 28 to 507 of the family's 1533-position model. The record is from RNAcentral.